RNAcentral lists this transfer RNA (76 nucleotides) under Clostridioides difficile. RNAcentral describes it as "tRNA-Phe". It matches the Rfam family "tRNA". From Rfam's summary of the family: Transfer RNA (tRNA) molecules are approximately 80 nucleotides in length. Their secondary structure includes four short double-helical elements and three loops (D, anti-codon, and T loops). Lineage: Bacteria; Bacillati; Bacillota; Clostridia; Peptostreptococcales; Peptostreptococcaceae. The record is from RNAcentral.
GCCCAGAUAGCUCAGUCGGUAGAGCAGGGGACUGAAAAUCCCCGUGUUGGUGGUUCGAUUCCGCCUCUGGGCACCA